AGUAGAAAAAGUACCAUCAUCUACACCAAGAAUUUUGUGAAUGAGAGAAGAAACUGUAGCAUCCAGAAAGGCUAUGGCAACACUGAGUGGAGUGCACAGGGCCCUGUGAGCAGUCAAAGCCUUUGUGAAGAGCUGAUAUGCAAGACAGAUAUGUGACAGAGAACCCCUUCCUAGGAGGUAUGUUUGUAUUUGCCUAGCCACUUGUUUUGUUUGUUGGCUGGCUUUAUGUUAUUCAUAAAGAAAUGUGAGGAAAGUAAUUAUUCCCAUUGACGACCACCAGGAUCCCAGAAGCCUGACUCAUUCAUCACUAAAGGAGAGAGCCUAAUGUAGAAAAUAUUUACAAAUAAAACUUGAUGACUUGAA
Molecule: long non-coding RNA, 363 nt
Organism: Suricata suricatta (meerkat)
Lineage: Eukaryota; Metazoa; Chordata; Mammalia; Carnivora; Herpestidae
Exons: 2
Source: RefSeq, a predicted model, not a curated record